UUUGACAGACUUGGCGUUCUUUGCAGAAGCUUUUAAAGAAUUUAGUGUUGUGGUUCAUGGAGAAAAGGUUCCACAUAGAAUUCUGGGCUGUUUCAAAUACGUUGAGUCAAAGAAUCAAAUGUUAUUUCACAAUACAAAAUCACUGAUGGCUGAGAACAAUAUCAUGGUACUCCAGGAAUUACUUAACAGCAGUCCGCCCCCGGACUUGUGUAAACUUUAUGGUUCACGUCUUAUGAAUAAAUUUAAAAUUGCUCAAACGC
This is a long non-coding RNA of Callorhinchus milii (elephant shark), 260 nucleotides long. RefSeq lists it as uncharacterized. The transcript is spliced from 3 exons. The record is from RefSeq and is a predicted model, not a curated record. NCBI's taxonomy places the organism in Eukaryota, Metazoa, Chordata, Chondrichthyes, Chimaeriformes, Callorhinchidae.